UACGAAGGGGGCUAUCGUUGCUCGGAAUCACUGGGCGUAAAGCGCACGUAGGCGGCUUUCUAAGUCAGGGGUGAAAUCCUGGAGCUCAACUCCAGAACUGCCUUUGAUACUGGAGAGCUUGAGUCCGGAAGAGGUGAGUGGAACUCCGAGUGUAGAGGUGAAAUUCGUAGAUAUUCGGAAGAACACCAGUGGCGAAGGCGGCUCACUGGUCCGGUACUGACGCUGAGGUGCGAAAGCGUGGGGAGCAAACAGG
RNAcentral lists this ribosomal RNA (253 nucleotides) under uncultured bacterium. Its description in RNAcentral is "partial 16S ribosomal RNA". It matches the Rfam family "Bacterial small subunit ribosomal RNA", at positions 524 to 776 of the family's 1533-position model. The record is from RNAcentral.